Molecule: long non-coding RNA, 327 nt
Filed under: Erythranthe guttata (spotted monkey flower)
Lineage: Eukaryota; Viridiplantae; Streptophyta; Magnoliopsida; Lamiales; Phrymaceae
Description: long non-coding RNA (EGUT_LNC000576)
Source: RNAcentral
AAUUAAAAAAGGGACAUCCAACUUUUUUGUUUUUCAAAUAAACCCACCCCAUUCAAACUUAUUUGCAAAUAAGGAAAAUCCCUUUAUAUAUACCAAAAUUACCCCCAAUUCAUUGAAACCCAAUUCAACUCCAAUUUCAUGAUUUACACCCCAAUUUAGCCCAAUUUCAUCAAUUAACCAAUUUUAAUCCUAAUUUCAAUUUUGACCCCAAUUUUAACCCUAAUACUUAUCAAUUCCACCCAUUAUGCUCCAACUUCUUAAAUAUUACACAUUGACCCCGGAUUUAAACAAAUAUAUCACAUUAACCCCCAAAACUUUUUUUUUUUC